Molecule: non-coding RNA, 111 nt
Organism: Acanthosepion pharaonis
Lineage: Eukaryota; Metazoa; Mollusca; Cephalopoda; Sepiida; Sepiidae
Source: the annotation of a GenBank genome assembly
UGUGGCCAUAUCCCAUUGUGACAAGUUCUCAUGCAAUCACUGAAGUUAAGCAACUUUGACCAUGGUCAGUAUCUAGAUGGGUGACCAUUUGGGAACACCAGGUACUGUAUG